This 409-nucleotide ribosomal RNA is filed under the name uncultured Pseudomonas sp. RNAcentral describes it as "bacterial SSU rRNA". It matches the Rfam family "Bacterial small subunit ribosomal RNA", at positions 974 to 1382 of the family's 1533-position model. Lineage: Bacteria; Pseudomonadati; Pseudomonadota; Gammaproteobacteria; Pseudomonadales; Pseudomonadaceae. The record is from RNAcentral.
CCAGGCCCUGACAUGCAGAGAACUUUCCAGAGAUGGAUUGGUGCCUUCGGGAACUCUGACACAGGUGCUGCAUGGCUGUCGUCAGCCCGUGUCGUGAGAUGUUGGGUUAAGUCCCGUAACGAGCGCAACCCUUGUCCUUAGUUACCAGCACGUUAUGGUGGGCACUCUAAGGAGACUGCCGGUGGACAAACCGGAGGAAGUGGGGAUGACGUCAAGUCAUCAUGGCCCUUACGGCCUGGGCUACACACGUGCUACAAUGGUCGGUACAAAGGGUUGCCAAGCCGCGAGGUGGAGCUAAUCCCAUAAAACCGAUCGUAGUCCGGAUCGCAGUCUGCAACUCGACUGCGUGAAGUCGGAAUCGCUAGUAAUCGUGAAUCAGAAUGUCACGGUGAAUACGUUCCCGGGCCUU